This 175-nucleotide ribosomal RNA is filed under the name uncultured bacterium. RNAcentral describes it as "partial 16S ribosomal RNA". It matches the Rfam family "Bacterial small subunit ribosomal RNA", at positions 335 to 525 of the family's 1533-position model. The record is from RNAcentral.
ACUCCUACGGGAGGCAGCAGUGGGGAAUUUUCCGCAAUGGGCGAAAGCCUGACGGAGCAAUGCCGCGUGGAGGUGGAAGGCCUACGGGUCGUCAACUUCUUUUCUCGGAGAAGAAACAAUGACGGUAUCUGAGGAAUAAGCAUCGGCUAACUCUGUGCCAGCAGCCGCGGUAAUA